Molecule: transfer RNA, 74 nt
Filed under: Merluccius polli (Benguela hake)
Lineage: Eukaryota; Metazoa; Chordata; Actinopteri; Gadiformes; Merlucciidae
Rfam family: tRNA
About the family: Transfer RNA (tRNA) molecules are approximately 80 nucleotides in length. Their secondary structure includes four short double-helical elements and three loops (D, anti-codon, and T loops).
Source: Rfam by way of RNAcentral
GGUACUGUGGCUUAGCUGGAUAAAGUGCCUGUCUAGUAAACAGGAGAUCCUGGGUUCAAAUCCCAGCAGUACCU